ACAGCCACAUCACAUUGAAACACCAGUUCCUGUAUGAUCACUGAAGUUAAGCAAUGUCUAGCCUGGUCAGUACCUAGGUGGGUAACUACUUGGGAAUACUAG
Non-coding RNA from Acanthosepion pharaonis, 102 nucleotides. The record is from the annotation of a GenBank genome assembly. NCBI's taxonomy places the organism in Eukaryota, Metazoa, Mollusca, Cephalopoda, Sepiida, Sepiidae.